Molecule: ribosomal RNA, 538 nt
Filed under: uncultured organism
Description: bacterial SSU rRNA
Rfam family: Bacterial small subunit ribosomal RNA
Source: RNAcentral
AGUGGCGCACGGGUGCGUAACACGUAUGCAACCUACCCUUAAGUGGGGAAUAGCGGUGUGAGAGCGGGGCUAAUACCCCAUAACAUUAUGGUAAGGCAUCUUACUAUUAUCAAAGAUUUAUCGGUUAGGGAUGGGCAUGCGCCCCAUUAGUUAGUUGGUUAGGUAACGGCUAACCAAGACUGUGAUGGGUAGGGGUUCUGAGAGGAUUCUCCCCCACACUGGUACUGAGACACGGACCAGACUCCGGCGGGAGGCAGCAGUAAGGAAUAUUGGGCAAUGGACGCAAGUCUGACCCAUCCUUGCCGCGUGCAGGAUGACGGCCUUAUGGGUUGUAAACUGCUUUUGUAUGGGAUUAAAGUGUUGUACGUGUACGACAUUGCAAGUACCAUACGAAUAAGCAUCGGCUAACUCCGUGCCAGCAGCCGCGGUAAUACGGAGGAUGCAAGCGUUAUCCGGAAUCAUUGGGUUUAAAGGGUGCGUAGGUUGAUUAUUAAGUCAGUGGUGAAAAUUCCGGGGUCAACCCGGGACUUGCCGUUGA